RNAcentral lists this transfer RNA (86 nucleotides) under Felis catus (domestic cat). It matches the Rfam family "tRNA". Rfam says of the family: Transfer RNA (tRNA) molecules are approximately 80 nucleotides in length. Lineage: Eukaryota; Metazoa; Chordata; Mammalia; Carnivora; Felidae. The record is from Rfam by way of RNAcentral.
GCCUGGGUGGCUCAGUCGGUUGAGCGGCUGACUUCGGCUCAGGUCAUGAUCUCGCGGGUCUGUGAGUUCGACCCCCACAUUGGGCU